AAUAGAUACCCGGGUAGUCCACGCCGUAAACGAUGAGUGCUAAGUGUUAGGGGGUUUCCGCCCCUUAGUGCUGCAGCUAACGCAUUAAGCACUCCGCCUGGGGAGUACGGUCGCAAGACUGAAACUCAAAGGAAUUGACGGGGGCCCGCACAAGCGGUGGAGCAUGUGGUUUAAUUCGAAGCAACGCGAAGAACCUUACCAGGUCUUGACAUCCCAUUGACCACUAUGGAGACAUAGUUUUCCCUUCGGGGACAACGGUGACAGGUGGUGCAUGGUUGUCGUCAGCUCGUGUCGUGAGAUGUUGGGUUAAGUCCCGCAACGAGCGCAACCCUUGUUCUUAGUUGCCAUCAUUUAGUUGGGCACUCUAAGGAGACUGCCGGUGACAAACCGGAGGAAGGUGGGGAUGACGUCAAAUCAUCAUGCCCCUUAUGACCUGGGCUACACACGUGCUACAAUGGACGGUACAAACGGUUGCCAACCCGCGAGGGGGAGCUAAUCCGAUAAAACCGUUCUCAGUUCGGAUUGUAGGCUGCAACUCGCCUACAUGAAGCCG
RNAcentral lists this ribosomal RNA (553 nucleotides) under uncultured bacterium. Its description in RNAcentral is "bacterial SSU rRNA". It matches the Rfam family "Bacterial small subunit ribosomal RNA", at positions 777 to 1328 of the family's 1533-position model. The record is from RNAcentral.